This 376-nucleotide long non-coding RNA is filed under the name Lactuca sativa (garden lettuce). RNAcentral's name for it is "long non-coding RNA (LSAT_LNC000756)". Lineage: Eukaryota; Viridiplantae; Streptophyta; Magnoliopsida; Asterales; Asteraceae. The record is from RNAcentral.
AGGGGGUUUGAGUCGAUGUCAAACAAACUCGAAGAUCUGAGCAGUCGUGUACAACGUAUGGAGGAGGAGUUGCAGAAAAUUCAAAAAAAUCAACCUGAGUUUCCUCUUUUCUCAGCUGAGGAAUCCAAAGAGAUACCUUUUGACCAAAACUUAGGUCUACCUGAGAUGCCUUUUGACAAAAACUUAGGUCUACCUGAGAUACCUUUUGACCAAAAUUUAGGUCUACCUGACUUCCCUGAGAAUUUUAAAGAUCUUAAAGUCUUUCGGGAGUGGAAGAAGUGUGUAGAUUCAUGUUUUAAGUAUCAUAAAAUCCCUCGCGAAAGGCAAGGACAACUUGUAGCCGAGACAUUCCCAAAGAAUUUCCCAUGGUGGGAAC